RNAcentral lists this transfer RNA (63 nucleotides) under Curculionidae sp. BMNH 1039956. Its description in RNAcentral is "tRNA-Arg". Lineage: Eukaryota; Metazoa; Arthropoda; Insecta; Coleoptera; Curculionidae. The record is from RNAcentral.
GAGCAAGAAGCAAAAUUUUGCAUUUAGUUUCGACCUAAAAUUAUGAUUUAUUAUCCUUGCUUA